CUUAAUUAUGAGGUUUUCGUCAAUUCCGGUAAUAGAAGAAGAAAGAGAAGCAUUUUUGAAAAAGGUUCUACUAGUGUUCCCGACAUUUGUGGAUCCGAACCCUGGUUUAGGUUUAUCCACUGUUAAGCCCAUUUGUUUCUUAAAUUCCGAUUGUAUCCUUUUUUUCGUUUCUUCAAAGAUUAAUUUAUUUUCUUUAGUUCUCACUUUCCAGCAUUUUAUAGGUAACCUAUACACAAUGUGCAACAAACACUCAAAUGUCCUAAUCCACAAAUGAAGGGAUGAUAUACCAAAUCUAAGGUUGUCCGGUUUUAUUGUUUUUUUUAUAAACUUCAAAGGAAUUCAUUUCUAUGGGUGAAGCACCACAAAUAACGCAUCUUUGCGAACUGUGAGUGUCUGAUAAUAUAUUUACAGUACUACCGUCCAGCAUAGAUAAAAUCAUGUCAUAAUUUAUGCAUAGUUCUAUUCCUUUAAAGUUUAAACUAAAAUCUUUAAGAUUAUUUAUAUUAGUUUCUAGUUCUUUUUCUCCUUUUACCAGAGGAGCAUUUUCUUUUAAAAAUACUCGGUCCAUCCUGCAGUAUUACGAAUUAAGUCAGUAUCUAAACCUGAUCUGAAUGCCGCUGAGGUACUUGCAUGACGCACGCUGUGACUUUUAAAAAUAGUAGUAUCUAUUUUACUUUUCUCUAAAACUGUUUUUAUCCACCAGCUUUUAGUCUGCGUAGAAGCCGAGUGAUGUGGUUUUUUAUGUGUCAAAAUUAAUGUGUCAUUAUUACCUCGAAUAGAAUUUGUUCGUUUUACGUAAUUAUUCAGUGUACUGGCUAUAUACCAUUCGGGUUUGUCCUUAAAAUAAGGAAAAACAAGACAUGGUUGUUUCCUGUUCUUGCCCGAAGUCUUGAUCUUUGCAGGUAUACAAAUUUCCAUCUUUUGUGCAUCUUGGUGAAUGUUAUUUAAAGUAAUUUUAUAUAUGAGGCCGUAAUUAUAAAAAUGAGGCAUUUACUUUCAAGUUAAAGGUAGAAGUAAAAGGUUUUACUACAAUUCGUAUUUACAAUCUCUACCUUUUUCUUGCAAGGAAAUGCUUUGGUUAAAUAAAGUAAAAGGUACAGAGAUACAAUUAUAACUUUAGUAAUACUGGUAAAUUUCACUCUGCAUCCAUACUUUAGAAUAGGAAAUCGCCGUUUCAGAUGCCCAACUAUAUGCUCAAUCACAACUCUCUCUGAUUUAAGCAGCCUGUUGAAGGCUAUCUGAUAUUCCUCGAGGGGGUUGGGAUGGGGAGUCAUGAGACAUGACAUUAUACCAUAUUCAUUGUUCCCUAGUAGUAUAGUGUUUCUUGUCCUGUUCAUGACUUCACAUACUGCCGAAUUCUUCCAUAUACGAGAAUCAUGAACUGAUCCAGGCCAACUUGCAUCUAUACUAGUUAUAACACAAUUUUGGUCGCAUGUGGCCUGCACAUUAAUACUGAUAAAACCUUUUCGAUUUAUAUAUUCGUGUCCAAAUUGAGCUGGCUUUUCAAUACGAAUGUGCAUGCAGUCAAGAAUCCCAAUGGCUGUUUGGGAAAUUGAACCUGGUCAACCAUUUUUCUUUGGCCUGCAUGAUUUGAUUUUCUGUGUUUGGGAACCGAAUCCAUUCGCCAGCCUGUGGUACAAGCUGCUCAAGCACCUCAUGAAAUAUUCUGGACACUGUGGGCUGCGUACAUCCCAAUUCUUCAGCAAUUCAGCUCUGGAAUCCAGGAUUCGCACAAUAACGCAGAAAUACUUUCAUUUUCUGCACAGGUGAUAGGGCUGCUCCACGUGUUUCAAGAUCCGCGCCAAGAAAGUGGUCCGCCAACCACACCACAUUCUCCUUCUCAAAUCUAAAUAUAUAACGUUUUGAAAUCCGAUUCACGUGGUAUGUCUUGGUUUGUAGUAUUUUCGUGUACGGAAAUGCACCAUAUUAGCCAUAACAAACACAACACUGAAACCACACAACCAAAGAUUACUAGGUAGAUGUUAACAUACAAAAACACUACUACAAAUAGACAAUUUUUUCCGACGUUCCGAGCUUUUUGAUGGUUGGCCAACUACUGAAAAGAGUGAGAAAAGUUGUUGUGAACCUAGAUUCCUUUUUUAGAAGUAAAACCUUUAUUUUUUAAGCAAAUGCCUUUUUGUAAAUACGAAAAACAAAAGACCUUUUACUUUAAAGCAAAUCCAUCGAAGACCUUUUCCUUCAAUUUUCUUUAUGCAUAUACCUUGAAGGAAUUGCUUCAUUUUUUGAAAGCAAUAGGUACGGCUUUUUUUAUAAAUACAGCCUAUGGUCUGGCCUCUAUGAGUGUUUUCCAAAGGAAAAAGUGAGCUUAAAAAUUCUAAAACUGGACUCGGGUCCCAUGUAACCGAAUAUCUCGGAGAAGCACGAUUUUGAUUGUAAACUCCUUUAAAAAACUUUUUUAAUAUUUUUUCGUCUUCUGAUGAGAUUGAUAUCUUGGGCGUACAGCGAAAAUCCACUAAGUCGCAUUUUUGGUUGAAUUGGAUUAAACACACCACUAUGUCCAGUUUUUCACGGUCUUUAACAUGAAAAACCCAUUAAUGGGUUUUUCAUAAUUCAAUCAACCAAUCUCAUAAUUUAAUCAACCAAAAAUGUGACUUAGUGGAUUUUCGCUGUAGCGCCCACGAUAUUAUAUUAAGCAACGCUGAUCGGUAAUGAAUUAAGCGUUGAAUGAGAAAGACCAGUGUUAAAUUUUUUAUAGAGAAAAACUAGUAUUUUAUUGAAAUUAUACUGAUAAGGAUUAGCUCUUUGUUCUCUGCAGAAAUCGCACCAUUUUGUAUAAAAGGUUGUAUAUUGUUUUAAUGUGCUUUCAGGAAAAACAGCUAACAUGAUUGGAAUGGUUUCUUCUGGUAUUUUCUUUUGUUUCAGUGAUUGGUAGAUAACUUCCCUGCCACCAGGGAAAGAGUAUAUCAUAUAUAAUAUAUCAUAAAUGAUGAUGCGAUGAAAAAAUUCGUUGAUGCUCGAAAACUUCAAGACGUGCUUCGCAGCCAUUCUGUAAACAAAGAUACGAACUUAACCUCAAUUCACUUUAAUUUGCUUUUAAAAAAGUUUUAAGCAUCUUACCUUCACAAACGUCAUCGCAUCAACGAACGACGCAGCAAGCGACAAUAAGAUGAUUAAGAGAGGAGUAAAUGCCUUAGAGUCAGAUCAUGUUUUGCAUAUGCAAUUUGAUGCUGAACUGAUGAUUUUGAAAGGGAAAGUACAAGCUAGCAUGAAAGACAAAACUUAUAAUGUAGAGGUAUUUUUGAAUACUUCAGGUGAUAUCGCUGAGGCAAAGUGUUCUUGUCCGAAAGGAAUUAAGUGUCACCAUAUUGCGGCUUUGGUGUUGUUUGGGCAUUACCACAUUUCAAUUACAGACAAGGAAUGUACUUGGAAUGCCCCAAAAACAAAAUCAAGUGAGGUGAAGACGGCUGGACAAGUAGCUUGUAUCCAAGCAAAGAAUACAAAGCUAUAAGUCAUGUGCUUUUGGAGAAUGAAAGUGAUGAUCUGAGAACCAAAUUAAGCAAGUUUGGCAGUACCGUGCGAUUUUCUUGGCUUCUGCAAAAGGAGAGGACUACAGUUAUCUUCCGCUCAUCGAAGAUAUAAUUUCUUCAGAGGAAUUUGUUCAGGCCUCAAACAAAGCUGACUUCUUACAUCAGAAAUGCCCUUUGGAUGAUGCAGCAGUGUAACACAUUGCCGAAAUAACUGUAGGACAGGCCCAGAAUGAAAUUUGGCUGAUUAUGAGGAAGUUCCGCCUAACAGCAAGUAAUUUUGGAGCAGUAAUCAAUGCCUGCCAAAGAAAGAAGUUUCCUGAAAGUCUAUUCAAGUCUCUUAUUGAUGGAGUUAAAGCUAUCCAAUGGGGGGAGAAGCAACUAAAAAAGGGGAAUCAACUAUAUCGAGACCAACUUGGGGUUAAAAGUAGAACCUACCGGAAUUUGGUGUUCAAAUUCAGGGAUUUUAGAAGCCAGUCCUGAUGGAUUUAUAGGAGAAGUCAUCAGUCAAUCAUUGUCGAGGUAAAGUGUCCAUACACAUAUCGGAAUGACAUAUUAUCCGAAAAGUUGAAAAAUGUCACCACUUAUAUAAUAUAUUUCAAUGAAGACAACAAUAUUGUUUUAAAUUGUAACCACAAUUAUUACAACCAAAUAGAGGGUAAUUUACACUUGACCAAAAGAAAGAUUUUUUUUAUGUAUUUGGACAGUUAAAGAAGCGAUUGUAGUUAGUGUGGAAAUUGAUAAUGGUUGGGC
This is a long non-coding RNA of Sitophilus oryzae (rice weevil), 4238 nucleotides long. RefSeq lists it as uncharacterized. The transcript is spliced from 3 exons. The record is from RefSeq and is a predicted model, not a curated record. NCBI's taxonomy places the organism in Eukaryota, Metazoa, Arthropoda, Insecta, Coleoptera, Curculionidae.